UCAAAACAUUAUCAUGCAAAAAUCACAUUCUUUAUGAGAAACACACCUCAUAAUAGAAACUCUGUAUCAUAAUAGAAAUUGUAGGUUUCCUUGAUGGGAAACAUACUAAUGGUCAGAUACGCAUCAUCAUCCCAGUUUAAGCCUCUACCGCUACCCAUCACUACUAUCUUGUGCAACCUCUCGUCUUUCUUAUUUCACUCGCUUUUCUGGAGUUUGUCUUCACCAGCGGUAGCAAUAAAAGCAAGUCCAGCUCAAUGCUGUCAGCAACCUAAAAAAAGUUUCAUCUCUGAUGGCAUUUCCAGAUGGCUUGGCAAGUUCUCAUGCGCUUUCUAAUCCUUGUAUAUAUAAAAGAACCAACUUUCUAAGACAAGAAUCAGGCUACUCAUGUAUGUACCUUUUAGUCUCUUCCUCAAAUUUUCUUCUAGAUGGUGCAAAUGGAGAUUCCAAAUAAGAAGGCAUGGUAGAACAUAGUUCCACAUUUAUUCGUGAAAAGAAACAUAAAUUUAGAACAAGUGGAGUACCUUUCGAUUCCUCGUGUACAUCAACGGAUGUCGUCUUUUUUACCGUUAAAUUACUCUUUUCCUUCUCUCCCUCCACCCAAUACCUUUGCCUCUCCGCCUCCCUAACGCAAGUUCACCACAUUUUUCAAUGGUGCUUCUUGCUCGCAAUCACACCUUCCAUCUCCAUCUAGACUUUAACCAUGCAUUGAUUUACAUCUCACACAGUUUAACUUCUCCCUCUCUCACUGCAAUGCAACAUUCUCUCUCAAUGGUGCUUCUAGCUUGCAAUCACACCUUCCAUCUCCAUCUAGACUUUAAUCAUGCAUUGAUUUACAUCUCACACAGUUUAGCUUCUCCCUCUCUCAGGCUCUCUCACUGCAAUGCAACAUUCUCUCUCUCCCUCCCUCGUUACCCUCUUCCAAAUAAACUGCGGCAUUUAAGAAGUAAACAUUAUGUGUGAGAUGUAAAUAGUUGUGCCAGAAGGACAAUAAAGUUUAAUACGGAUGUAUUGGUCAAAAGUAACACCCAAAU
Molecule: long non-coding RNA, 1031 nt
Filed under: Triticum aestivum (bread wheat)
Lineage: Eukaryota; Viridiplantae; Streptophyta; Magnoliopsida; Poales; Poaceae
Description: long non-coding RNA (TAES_LNC028595)
Source: RNAcentral